RNAcentral lists this transfer RNA (127 nucleotides) under Burkholderia mallei GB8 horse 4. Its description in RNAcentral is "tRNA-Trp". The stretch from base 51 to 123 matches the Rfam family "tRNA". Rfam says of the family: Transfer RNA (tRNA) molecules are approximately 80 nucleotides in length. Lineage: Bacteria; Pseudomonadati; Pseudomonadota; Betaproteobacteria; Burkholderiales; Burkholderiaceae. The record is from RNAcentral.
UCGUUGAUCGACAGUUUAGGGGUCGGCGCAAGCCGGCCCCAACAUGGUCUAGGGGUAUAGCUCAACUGGCAGAGCGUCGGUCUCCAAAACCGAAGGUUGGGGGUUCAAUUCCCUCUGCCCCUGCCAC